UACGUAGGCAGCGAGCGUUGUUCGGAGUUACUGGGCGUAAAGGGCGCGUAGGCGGCGUGACAAGUCACUUGUGAAAUCUCCGGGCUUAACUCGGAACGGUCAAGUGAUACUGUUGUGCUAGAGUACAGAAGGGGCAAUCGGAAUUCUUGGUGUAGCGGUGAAAUGCGUAGAUAUCAAGAGGAACACCAGAGGCGAAGGCGGAUUGCUGGGCUGAUACUGACGCUGAGGCGCGAAAGCUAGGGUAGCAAACGGG
Molecule: ribosomal RNA, 253 nt
Filed under: uncultured bacterium
Lineage: Bacteria
Description: partial 16S ribosomal RNA
Rfam family: Bacterial small subunit ribosomal RNA
Source: RNAcentral